GCCGGGUGCGGUGGCGCGCGCCUGUAAUCCAAGCUACCGGGAGGCUGAGGCUGGAGGAUCGUUUGAGCUCAGGAGCUCUGAGCUGCAGCGGACUAUGCCGAUCGGGUGUCCGCACUAAGUUCGGUAUCGAUAUGGUGCUCCUGGGGAGCCCGGGACCACCAGGUCGUCUAAGGAGGGGUGCACCGGCCCAGGUCGGAGACGGAGCAGGUCAAAGCCCCCGUGCCGCUCAGUAGUGGGAUCGCGCCUGUGAAUAGACGCUGUAGUGCAGCCUGAGUAAUACAGCGGGACCCAGUCUUU
This 297-nucleotide signal recognition particle RNA is filed under the name Amphiprion percula (orange clownfish). RNAcentral describes it as "Metazoan signal recognition particle RNA (ENSAPEG00000024684.1)". It matches the Rfam family "Metazoan signal recognition particle RNA". From Rfam's summary of the family: The signal recognition particle (SRP) is a universally conserved ribonucleoprotein. It is involved in the co-translational targeting of proteins to membranes. Lineage: Eukaryota; Metazoa; Chordata; Actinopteri; Pomacentridae. The record is from RNAcentral.